This 264-nucleotide long non-coding RNA is filed under the name Theobroma cacao (cacao). Its description in RNAcentral is "long non-coding RNA (TCAC_LNC000926)". Lineage: Eukaryota; Viridiplantae; Streptophyta; Magnoliopsida; Malvales; Malvaceae. The record is from RNAcentral.
CCUUAAGGUUUCUUUGUAGUUGAAUUCUCUUCCAAUAGCUUCCAAACAAACGUGGAAAAUCUCUUUUUCUCUCUCUAAAACCUCCAACUAGUGAGAGAAAGUGCUGAACAAGGACUUUUUGAGGGUUUUAAAGUGAGAGAGUGAAAGAGCACAAGGGUUCUAGUCAAAAGGGCACAAAAGUAUGAAAAUUAGAGCUAGAAAGAGAAAGUUGUGAAAGUUUCAUAUCAAGCUUCCAUGGAGGAUGGAAGCAACAUGAGAUGGAAG